UCGAAAGAGAACCUGCACACAGGUGCUGCACGGCUGUCGUCAGCUCGUGUCGUGAGAUGUUGGGUUAAGUCCCGCAACGAGCGCAACCCUUGCCAUCAGUUGCUACGAAAGGGCACUCUGAUGGGACUGCCGGUGACAAACCGGAGGAAGGUGGGGAUGACGUCAAGUCCUCAUGGCCCUUAUAGGUGGGGCUACACACGUCAUACAAUGGCCGGUACAAAGGGCAGCAAACCCGCGAGGGGGAGCCAAUCCAUCAAAGCCGGUCGUAGUCCGGAUCGCAGUCUGCAACUCGACUGCGUGAAGUCGGAAUCGCUAGUAAUCGUGGAUCAGCAUGUCACGGUGAAUACGUUCCCGGGUCUU
Molecule: ribosomal RNA, 360 nt
Filed under: uncultured Allobrachymonas sp.
Lineage: Bacteria; Pseudomonadati; Pseudomonadota; Betaproteobacteria; Burkholderiales; Comamonadaceae
Description: bacterial SSU rRNA
Rfam family: Bacterial small subunit ribosomal RNA
Source: RNAcentral